UGUUGUCCCUUCAAAGACACCGUAGGUCAGUGUUGUGUCCCUUCAAAGACACCGUAGGUCAGUAUUGUGUCCCUUCAAAGACACUGUAGGUCAGUGUUGUGUCCCUUCAAAGACACUGUAGGUCAGUGUUGUCCCUUCAAAGACACCGUAGGUCAGUGUUGUCCCUUCAAAGACACCGUAGGUCAGUGUUGUGUCCCUUCAAAGACACUGUAGGUCAGUGUUGUCCCUUCAAAGACACCGUAGGUCAGUGUUGUGUCCCUUCAAAGACACCGUAGGUCAGUGUUGUCCCUUCAAAGACACCGUAGGUCAGUGUUGUGUCCCUUCAAAGACACUGUAGGUCAGUGUUGUCCCUUCAAAGACACCGUAGGUCAGUGUUGUGUCCCUUCAAAGACACCGUAGGUCAGUGUUGUCCCUUCAAAGACACCGUAGGUCAGUGUUGUCCCUUCAAAGACACCGUAGGUCAGUGUUGUGUCCCUUCAAAGACACCGUAGGUCAGUAUUGUGUCCCUUCAAAGACACUGUAGGUCAGUGUUGUCCCUUCAAAGACACCGUAGGUCAGUGUUGUCCCUUCAAAGACACCGUAGGUCAGUGUUGUCCCUUCAAAGACACCGUAGGUCAGUGUUGUGUCCCUUCAAAGACACUGUAGGUCAGUGUUGUCCCUUCAAAGACACCGUAGGUCAGUGUUGUGUCCCUUCAAAGACACCGUAGGUCAGUGUUGUCCCUUCAAAGACACCGUAGGUCAGUGUUGUGUCCCUUCAAAGACACUGUAGGUCAGUGUUGUCCCUUCAAAGACACCGUAGGUCAGUGUUGUCCCUUCAAAGACACCGUAGGUCAGUGUUGUCCCUUCAAAGACACUGUAGGUCAGUGUUGUCCCUUCAAAGACACCGUAGGUCAGUGUUGUCCCUUCAAAGACACUGUAGGUCAGUGUUGUCCCUUCAAAGACACCGUAGGUCAGUGUUGUCCCUUCAAAGACACCGUAGGUCAGUGUUGUCCCUUCAAAGACACCGUAGGUCAGUGUUGUCCCUUCAAAGACACCGUAGGUCAGUGUUGUGUCCUUUCAAAGACACCGUAGGUCAGUAUUGUGUCCCUUCAAAGACACCGUAGGUCAGUAUUGUGUCCCUUCAAAGACACCGUAGGUCAGUGUUGUGUCCUUUCAAAGACACCGUAGGUCAGUAUUGUGUCCCUUCAAAGACACCGUAGGUCAGUAUUGUGUCCCUUCAAAGACACCGUAGGUCAGUGUUGUCCUUUCAAAGACACCGUAGGUCAGUGUCUGUCCACUUCCUGUCCAUGAUCUUUGAGGUCAAAGCACA
This is a long non-coding RNA of Sphaeramia orbicularis (orbiculate cardinalfish), 1309 nucleotides long. RefSeq lists it as uncharacterized. NCBI's taxonomy places the organism in Eukaryota, Metazoa, Chordata, Actinopteri, Kurtiformes, Apogonidae. The record is from RefSeq and is a predicted model, not a curated record. The transcript is spliced from 3 exons.